This 85-nucleotide transfer RNA is filed under the name Oscillospiraceae bacterium. RNAcentral describes it as "tRNA-Leu". It matches the Rfam family "tRNA". Rfam says of the family: Transfer RNA (tRNA) molecules are approximately 80 nucleotides in length. Lineage: Bacteria; Bacillati; Bacillota; Clostridia; Eubacteriales; Oscillospiraceae. The record is from RNAcentral.
GCGGAUAUGGCGGAACUGGCAGACGCACAGGAUUUAGGAUCCUGCGGAGCAAUCCAUGGAGGUUCGAGCCCUCUUAUCCGCACCA